GUGGGGGAUAACGCAGCGAAAGUUGUGCUAAUACCGCAUACGCCCUGAGGGGGAAAGUGGGGGAUCGUAAGACCUCACGUUAUUCGAGCGGCCGACGUCUGAUUAGCUAGUUGGUGAGGUAAUGGCCCACCAAGGCGACGAUCAGUAGCGGGUCUGAGAGGAUGAUCCGCCACACUGGGACUGAGACACGGCCCAGACUCCUACGGGAGGCAGCAGUGGGGAAUUUUGGACAAUGGGGGCAACCCUGAUCCAGCCAUUCCGCGUGAGUGAAGAAGGCCUUCGGGUUGUAAAGCUCUUUCACUGGAACGAAACGGUAGAGGCUAAUACCCUCUGCUAAUGACGGUACCGGCAGAAGAAGCACCGGCUAACUACGUGCCAGCAGCCGCGGUAAUACGUAGGGUGCGAGCGUUAAUCGGAAUUACUGGGCGUAAAGCGUGCGCAGGCGGAUUGUUAAGCAAGACGUGAAAUCCCCGGGCUUAACCUGGGAAUGGCGUUUUGAACUGGCAGUCUAGAGUGUGUCAGAGGGGGGUGGAAUUCCACGUGUAGCAGUGAAAUGCGUAGAGAUGUGGAGGAACACCAAUGGCGAAGGCAGCCCCCUGGGAUAACACUGACGCUCAUGUACGAAAGCGUGGGUAGCAAACAGGAUUAGAUACCCUGGUAGUCCACGCCCUAAACGAUGUCAACUGGUUGUUGGGGGAGUGAAAUCCCUUAGUAACGAAGCUAACGCGUGAAGUUGACCGCCUGGGGAGUACGGUCGCAAGAUUAAAACUCAAAGGAAUUGACGGGGACCCGCACAAGCGGUGGAUGAUGUGGAUUAAUUCGAUGCAACGCGAAAAACCUUACCUACCCUUGACAUGUCCAGAAUCCUGCAGAGAUGCGGGAGUGCCCGAAAGGGAAUUGGAACACAGGUGCUGCAUGGCUGUCGUCAGCUCGUGUCGUGAGAUGUUGGGUUAAGUCCCGCAACGAGCGCAACCCUUAUCAUUAGUUGCUACGCAAGGGCACUCUAAUGAGACUGCCGGUGACAAACCGGAGGAAGGUGGGGAUGACGUCAAGUCCUCAUGGCCCUUAUGGGUAGGGCUUCACACGUCAUACAAUGGUCGGUACAGAGGGUUGCCAAGCCGCGAGGUGGAGCCAAUCCCAGAAAGCCGAUCGUAGUCCGGAUUGUUCUCUGCAACUCGAGAGCAUGAAGUCGGAAUCGCUAGUAAUCGCGGAUCAGCAUGUCGCGGUGAAUACGUUCCCGGGUCUUGUACACACCGCCCGUCACACCAUGGGAGUGGAAUCUGCCAGAAGUAGGUAGCCUAACCGCAAGGAGGGCGCUUACCACGGUGGGUUUCAUGACUGGGGUGAAGUCGUAACAAGGUA
Molecule: ribosomal RNA, 1362 nt
Filed under: metagenome
Description: bacterial SSU rRNA
Rfam family: Bacterial small subunit ribosomal RNA
Source: RNAcentral